GUGGGGAAUAUUGGACAAUGGGCGAAAGCCUGAUCCAGCCAUGCCGCGUGUGUGAAGAAGGUCUUCGGAUUGUAAAGCACUUUAAGUUGGGAGGAAGGGCAGUAAGUUAAUACCUUGCUGUUUUGACGUUACCGACAGAAUAAGCACCGGCUAACUUCGUGCCAGCAGCCGCGGUAAUACGAAGGGUGCAAGCGUUAAUCGGAAUUACUGGGCGUAAAGCGCGCGUAGGUGGUUUUGUAAGUUGGAGGUGAAAUCCCCGGGCUCAACCUGGGAACUGCCUCCAAAACUGCAUGACUAGAGUGCGGUAGAGGGUAGUGGAAUUUCCUGUGUAGCGGUGAAAUGCGUAGAUAUAGGAAGGAACACCAGUGGCGAAGGCGACUACCUGGACUGAUACUGACACUGAGGUGCGAAAGCGUGGGGAGCAAACAGGAUUAGAUACCCUUGUAGUCC
Molecule: ribosomal RNA, 450 nt
Filed under: uncultured bacterium
Lineage: Bacteria
Description: bacterial SSU rRNA
Rfam family: Bacterial small subunit ribosomal RNA
Source: RNAcentral